CGAACGGGUGAGUAGUGCGUCGGAACGUACCGAGUAAUGGGGGAUAACGCAGCGAAAGCUGUGCUAAUACCGCAUACGCCCUGAGGGGGAAAGUGGGGGAUCGCAAGACCUCACGUUAUUCGAGCGGCCGACGUCUGAUUAGCUAGUUGGUGGGGUAAUGGCUCACCAAGGCGACGAUCAGUAGCGGGUCUGAGAGGAUGAUCCGUCACACUGGAACUGAGACACGGUCCAG
RNAcentral lists this ribosomal RNA (232 nucleotides) under uncultured bacterium. RNAcentral's name for it is "partial 16S ribosomal RNA". It matches the Rfam family "Bacterial small subunit ribosomal RNA", at positions 99 to 334 of the family's 1533-position model. The record is from RNAcentral.